This 463-nucleotide ribosomal RNA is filed under the name Priestia megaterium. RNAcentral describes it as "bacterial SSU rRNA". It matches the Rfam family "Bacterial small subunit ribosomal RNA", at positions 394 to 848 of the family's 1533-position model. Lineage: Bacteria; Bacillati; Bacillota; Bacilli; Caryophanales; Bacillaceae. The record is from RNAcentral.
ACGCCGCGUGAGUGAUGAAGGCUUUCGGGUCGUAAAACUCUGUUGUUAGGGAAGAACAAGUACAAGAGUAACUGCUUGUACCUUGACGGUACCUAACCAGAAAGCCACGGCUAACUACGUGCCAGCAGCCGCGGUAAUACGUAGGUGGCAAGCGUUAUCCGGAAUUAUUGGGCGUAAAGCGCGCGCAGGCGGUUUCUUAAGUCUGAUGUGAAAGCCCACGGCUCAACCGUGGAGGGUCAUUGGAAACUGGGGAACUUGAGUGCAGAAGAGAAAAGCGGAAUUCCACGUGUAGCGGUGAAAUGCGUAAAGAUGUGGAGGAACACCAGUGGCGAAGGCGGCUUUUUGGUCUGUAACUGACGCUGAGGCGCGAAAGCGUGGGGAGCAAACAGGAUUAGAUACCCUGGUAGUCCACGCCGUAGACGAUGAGUGCUAAGUGUUAUAGGGUUUCCGCCCUUUAUUGCUG